RNAcentral lists this long non-coding RNA (515 nucleotides) under Ananas comosus (pineapple). Its description in RNAcentral is "long non-coding RNA (ACOM_LNC015963)". The record is from RNAcentral. Lineage: Eukaryota; Viridiplantae; Streptophyta; Magnoliopsida; Poales; Bromeliaceae.
UUGUGAAUUAUUAUUUCUAUGGUAUGAAGUUAUCGUAGAAUUAGACUUUUCAAUUACUGAAUUACGGUUUAAUUCUAUUAUAUUUUAUAUAUAAGACUAUUUCAGAUUUUAGAAGUAUCACAUUUCUUUUCCUAUAAGUCCCCAACAUUCUCGUUAGGUUCAAAUGCACUUAUAAGUAUUAGGCGCCUAGCCAAUCUUGUGGGGAACCACGCUUUUUCCACAAUGGUCGUUAGUCAAGGAGUCGCGCUCUACCGGCUAUGCAAUCUUAAUUCAGCGAAGACUCAUCUCAUAUUUUUAGCUAGUGAUUGGAUCUGAUAUCGAUCGUGAUGUCCAGCUUUUUGGGAGUGGGUCACUAAUUCUAUAUCUAUUAUGUAUAGUCCUGACUAGCACAUUUUAUCCUUUUAAUCUUUUGAAUUUAAUCAUCGUUCAAAAUACUAUAGCCGGAUUGAGAGGUUUAAUUCUAUUAUAAUUUAUAUAUGAAACUAUUUCAGAUCCUAAAAGUGUCACAGUUCUCU